CAAAAAAACUUAAAAGGCCAAAUGAAAUAGUGAAAACCUAGUCUUCAUCUUCACCAACUGUCUGUUGCAGGCUUCAUCUUCACUAUUGAAGUAUCGAAGACUCGAAAUCUCCAAGACGAACUGACAAACGAAGUCACCUCGCAAAGCCGCAACAGCUUCCUCUUCUCCUUCUGUCUCUUCUCGGCUUUUCCUCCAGCGCGAUUUGCUUCUCAUCUCUCUUCUUUUGCCGUCCUAUGUCACUGCUUCUUAUCUCUCGUGGACGAAAUCCAUUUUGAGGACGAUUCUCGCCUGCCCACGAAGCAAACCCGCUCUCUCGAAGCUCCUCUCUCCCUUCAUAUCUCCCUCGAAGGCUGCUGCAGUCCGUGCUCCCUUCAACAAGACCCAGUUUAGAUUUUUAUUGUACUUUUUGGACACAUACUAUCUAAUAUUUAUUACUAUUUUAUUUUAUUUUA
Molecule: non-coding RNA, 452 nt
Organism: Punica granatum (pomegranate)
Lineage: Eukaryota; Viridiplantae; Streptophyta; Magnoliopsida; Myrtales; Lythraceae
Source: RefSeq, a predicted model, not a curated record